UAUACAUAACCAUGAGGGCAGUCAAGGUAAACGGGUGGAUCCGGUACAUGUAAGAGGUAACCAGCCUAUCCGUACGGCUAGAUGGCUGCUAGAUCACGUACAUAUCUACCACACUACAUAUGGGCUUGUCUUAUCUUGGGGAGUUGUAAAGGACAUGUGUACCAGAACUUCUCCUGUAUCACGUACAACUGGGACGAGUAUCUGACCUGCUCCUGGGCUUUGUCACCACUGUACAACGAACCAGUCUACACAACAUCGCUCACUUGGCAAUUGCCACAAUUUGCCAUUUGGUCUUCAUGCCCGGAUUUGUCCUCCGGUACAUGCACGUGGUCUUUAGGUGGAAAUGACGGAAUUAAGGACACAGACCCCCACCAACCAAUACGUGUCUGUCUUCACCUGCGGAAUGACAAUAGAGCGAUAGAGUCAGAAUGUCAUGAGGUGGACAUUGAAAACAAAGUAAAACCAGCCACGGUUAGUGAUUUGGUAGCAAAGCCCCAAUAUCCUAACUGUAUUUGUGCUCAGUGGACACAUCAGAAAGUUAUACCAUCAAAGAUAUUCUCUUUGGAAAUAUCUUCACCAGGCUCGGCCACAAUACAAAAGAACGUACGGAUGGACUCAUUUUAUGAUUACGAUGACUCGUCCGAAUUCCAAAGUGGAUCCUACACAAACUUAACGGUUUGCAAUCUUUCCUAUUUCGUUAACUACACGAUUUCCGUGAGGGUAGGAGCCAUUGAUAUGGACGACAACCAAAUAGGCUACUGGAGCGACUCGCUGGCUAUUAAUGUAGUCACGUCGAAAACGGUUCCAUCAGGUCCGCCUUCUUUACCCCAGGGUGGGUACACCCUCUCGGCUGUCAAUGGUAAAGGAUAUAGGUUGGCCAGAAUCUACUGGACGAGUCUUCCUAAGCACGCGUGGAAUGGGGAGACUAUAACGUACGAACUGGAGGCAUUUCCGGUCGAUGGGUGUGGAUCGCGAACCGUCCGACUUAGUAGGCGAAAUACAUCAGCAGAAUUCGAUAUUAUGUAUACAUGUUCCUACAACAUCAAAGUAUGGUCAAGAAAUGAAAUAGGGAGGUCAAAGGACGUCAGCGUUCUUCUGUUGGAACAGAACGUAUUACAAAGACCCCGUGAAGUGUCCAUGACUGAUGGACAUACAGAUUUGGUGACUAUUUCUUGGCUUGAACCGAAAGAUGUGAAACCGACUUUAUUGCUCAAAUAUACUGUAUAUUGGUGUCCCAGAUCUCCUAGACAACUAUGCCAGGGGUCUUUCAACUAUAGAACAGUCAUUUCGCCUAUUUCGUAUGAAGACGUAUACUUGCGGACCACUGUCCGGAUGGAAGGAUAUCCGAACGUCACGUAUAUGUACGGAGUGUCUACGGAUAUAAACAUUACCGGAACAGUCGCCAGUAGUGGCUUUGUGUGGACGGAUUGUUCAAUGCUAUCUACAGAUAAACUGAAAAAUCCCAGGAUAUCUUUUGAAGGAUAUCCCUCCGAAAAAAGAGUAAGAGUCUCAUGGAUAUACCUGAAUUGUGCUCAAGCAAUGAUUAAAAAGGCUAACAGCGUACAUUACGAUGUUACAAGCUGCCCAUCAGAUAAGUGUGAAGAGCUAAGUACUGAGAGUAAAGAAGCCUAUGUCGACUUACACUCAAUCUCUGCCGGACAGGAGGUAUGUGUGACCAUUGCUGUACGCCUGGGUACAGUUUCUGGACCAACAAGUCGUGUAUACUGCUAUACCCAGUCCUUACAAGGUACCCAGUAUCCUCUGCAUGCUGUGCUUGUUUCCCUUGUCAUCAUAUCAGGUGCUGUUGUAGUCGCAAUAGUAGGGACUAUCUUAUAUGUCGCCUUCAAAUGGUGGACGAAGCCGACUAAAUGUAGUAUACCAAAGAUACCUACAGGGGGUAAUGACAGUGAACAGACAACUACAGGAGAUCUGGUUCAACCAUUAGUUGGAAACGGCAGUGCAGUAUCUACAGGUCGAACGACUGUGACUACGGAGACGGCCCUAAUAGUCAACGACUGAUACACAAAUCCCAGUUAUUACAUAACUUUUCUUCACAACUGGCUUCGGUAUCACAGACGCACAAGCUGACUUUGUCUCCGAACUCAAGAUUUCAGGUCAUCGCAAAAUCCAGAAUAUUAACUCCUACUCCAGUCUUAACACCAAACAACACAAGGCGAUAUCAGAUGUCAUAUCCAACGUGCGAUUGUGGCUUCGACUUCACAAUCAAACAGAUCAUCCAGUAGACUGUUACGAUGACAGAUCAACGCCAUCACUGUCAUUUCAAUGGACCAAUAUAUGGUGGAACAUUUCACGUUAAAAUAAACCAUGCUGCACCAAAACGACCACGAGUGCUGUACUCUGACGAAAGUGAAGAAAGAAGAAGCUUUCUAGUCCAGAAUCCCCGCCAAUAUAAACUUUGUACUAUUUAUAGCUACAUGGACUAAGCGGCCUAAUCAAGCAUUU
Molecule: unclassified non-coding RNA, 2463 nt
Filed under: Mizuhopecten yessoensis (Yesso scallop)
Lineage: Eukaryota; Metazoa; Mollusca; Bivalvia; Pectinida; Pectinidae
Description: uncharacterized LOC110457863, transcript variant X4
Source: RNAcentral